This 398-nucleotide ribosomal RNA is filed under the name uncultured bacterium. Its description in RNAcentral is "bacterial SSU rRNA". It matches the Rfam family "Bacterial small subunit ribosomal RNA", at positions 30 to 429 of the family's 1533-position model. The record is from RNAcentral.
AUUGAACGCUGGCGGCAUGCCUUACACAUGCAAGUCGAACGGCAGCACGGGAGCAAUCCUGGUGGCGAGUGGCGAACGGGUGAGUAAUAUAUCGGAACGUACCUUUCAGUGGGGGAUAACGUAGCGAAAGUUACGCUAAUACCGCAUAUUCUGUGAGCAGGAAAGCAGGGGAUCGCAAGACCUUGCGCUGAUUGAGCGGCCGAUAUCAGAUUAGCUAGUUGGUGAGGUAAAGGCUCACCAAGGCGACGAUCUGUAGCGGGUCUGAGAGGAUGAUCCGCCACACUGGAACUGAGACACGGUCCAGACUCCUACGGGAGGCAGCAGUGGGGAAUUUUGGACAAUGGGCGCAAGCCUGAUCCAGCCAUGCCGCGUGAGUGAAGAAGGCCUUCGGUUGUAAG